AAUUUUUGACAAUGGAGGAAACUCUGAUGCAGCGACGCCGCGUGAGCUAUGAAGGCUUUCGAGCUGUCAAGCUCUGCGACACGGGACGAUACAGACGGUACCCUAGGAGGAAGCCCCGGCUAACUACGUGCCAGCAGCCGCGGUAAUACGUAGGGGGCGAGCGUUGUCCGGAAUUAUUGGGCGUAAAGGGUUCGCAGGCGGCCUUUUAAGUCAGAUGUGAAAGCCCACGGCUUAACCGUGGUAAGCAUUUGAAACUGGAAGGCUUGAGUUAAGGAGAGGAAAGUGGAAUUCCUAGUGUAGCGGUGAAAUGCGUAGAUAUUAGGAGGAAUACCAGUGGCGAAGGCGACUUUCUGGACUUAUACUGACGCUGAGGAACGAAAGCGUGGGGAGCAAACAG
This 397-nucleotide ribosomal RNA is filed under the name uncultured bacterium. Its description in RNAcentral is "partial 16S ribosomal RNA". It matches the Rfam family "Bacterial small subunit ribosomal RNA", at positions 360 to 775 of the family's 1533-position model. The record is from RNAcentral.